Molecule: ribosomal RNA, 253 nt
Filed under: uncultured bacterium
Lineage: Bacteria
Description: partial 16S ribosomal RNA
Rfam family: Bacterial small subunit ribosomal RNA
Source: RNAcentral
UACGAAGGGGGCUAGCGUUGCUCGGAAUCACUGGGCGUAAAGGGUGCGUAGGCGGGUUUUUAAGUCAGGGGUGAAAUCCUGGAGCUCAACUCCAGAACUGCCUUUGAUACUGAAGAUCUUGAGUUCGGGAGAGGUGAGUGGAACUGCGAGUGUAGAGGUGAAAUUCGUAGAUAUUCGCAAGAACACCAGUGGCGAAGGCGGCUCACUGGUCCGGUACUGACGCUGAGGUGCGAAAGCGUGGGGAGCAAACAGG